CCAGAACUUGUCCUCAGUGAGGGUUAUCUUGCCGUGUUUCUCAAGGUUUUGUAAGGAUUUGAAUUGGGUGUGGCUUCCCACCACCACGUAUUCCUUUCUCCCCUUUCUGCAUAUCCUGCUACCUAUGUGCAACCAUUUCCAACCAGAGGUUAGAAUUUAUAAAGCAACCAAUGAAAUGUUAGCUUUAGGAAUAUUUCUGGGUUAGUGCAAGUCCCUGAACAGUAAGCAAAUUAGCAUGCAUGGAACCCGGCCAGAAGUUGGUGUAUUUGUGGGUGGCUUGCCUUUCACUAACCCUUUCUAAUAAAGGCAAAAAUACAACUCUAAAAACUUUGUGUGGUGCCCUACUGUACAAGGCUGAGUAAAAACAAGAAAGUAGCUGUAUUAAGUUCUAAUCCACCAUAGCAUAGUACCUAAAUUAACUUUAGAGUUUAGUCAAUUUCUCAAUAGGUCAAAAAGCAAAAGAUGCCAUGUCAAACAUCUCCCAAAUGCAUUUUAUACAUUUUUAUUUUAUAAUUUGGUCUCCUAAAAAUGUUUGUUAGCUUAACUUAGUGGGUAGAACUACACUCAUAACAUAUCUAAAAGCAACAAACAUUUCCUCGGCAGUGCUAUUGUUUGCAAUAGUUGGGGAAGUUUUGGGUUUGUUUUUAAAGGUUGAAAUUUCCGUGUACAAUUUAAUGCUUGCAAAGUUAAUAACCCCAAUGCGUUUUCCAGAGUCAGUAGUUUCAAAUAACUUAUUGUCUCUAUGUAUAAUAAAAUCUUAGCUCUCUAAGUCAUGUGAGCCAUUAUUUUUUUCCCACAAAAGGUGAUUUCUCCUUUAAGUGUAGAUCUGUGUUGUGAUUUAUGAUCCAGAAUUGUGUUCUUUUGUGGAUUCUGAAGUAAAUGAUUUUCUUGUGUUUGGGAAAGUCUCAAUUGUUCCAGCAGUAUUGUACAGAUGAGCUCAUGGCGUUUAACCCAUUGUGGUUUUAUUUCAACUGUUCAUCACUUACCAUGAAAUGGACCUGCCUUUGGAAUACAGUAAAUGGUUGCAGUUUUCUAAUCUUUUUCUUCCUUGGAUCUGGAGAAAGAAUUUCCUUGAUCUGCACAGUUGAUCUCUGCAAAGUGGUUAGUCGGGGAAGCAGAAAUGCAUGCUGACAGGUGAGAGGCGUUACCAAGCCUCGCUGGAUCUAAACUGAACCCACUCCAGAGUAUCGCACAGGAAAUCUUCUCGAAUGUCAAGAAUUCACCUCAUAUCAACAAAAGCCUUGGAAACACGAGUUUUUCACUGGGUAUUACCUAAUGCUAAAAGGAAAGCCAAAACAAUAUCAGAAUGACAUUUUAUGCUCUAAAUUUAUAGCUGUCUACUGUGCUUAGUGUGUCUGUCAUUAGUGCUGUAUUCUCCUAGCUAUUAUAGAAAAUUGUUGAAAUAAAGAUAAGGAUAUAAAGAAA
Molecule: long non-coding RNA, 1425 nt
Filed under: Rattus norvegicus (Norway rat)
Lineage: Eukaryota; Metazoa; Chordata; Mammalia; Rodentia; Muridae
Description: long non-coding RNA NONRATT027882
Source: RNAcentral